RNAcentral lists this long non-coding RNA (788 nucleotides) under Oncorhynchus kisutch (coho salmon). RNAcentral's name for it is "lncRNA (ENSOKIG00005019627.1)". Lineage: Eukaryota; Metazoa; Chordata; Actinopteri; Salmoniformes; Salmonidae. The record is from RNAcentral.
AAUCUUAUAGGAUAUUGAAAUACCAUACACAUGUUAAUGUACCUCAUGUGUAGGUUAUAUCUGACAGCAGGUUGUUUUGAAACCUGUCCGUCGUUUUGGCGUCAAGAGGCAGCCGCAGCACAUCAAUCAAGCUGACAAUCACCAGCUGGCUAGCUCAAAGCCUAGCUUAGUUUAGCUAGUUGUCAGAUACAUAAACGAACUAUCUAGCUAGCUAUCGUACAUUAUUGAGCGGCUUGAUUAUAUUUCAAUCCUUACGAUAUAUGAAUUAUAAUGACUAGUUAGGCAUCGUUUGAAUCCUCUGAGCUGGCCUAACUCCCGGACGGAGAGAAGAUAAGAGCAUUGGGAGUCAAGGCUCAAGACUAGUUAGCUAGCCCACAUCGAAAUUGAUGACUGUUACAUGAACUGGCAAGAUGUUGGACUCAGAAGAGUGUACUUUGUCCCUGGAUAACUUGUUCUUUGAGAGGCCAGUUGUCCACAAAGUAAAGCCACUUUGUCAAGAGCAGAGUUCUUGGCAGUUGGAACCCCCUCCAUCCCUCUCCCAGAUUCCAGCCACUCAGGACAUCCAAAAAGAGGCAGAGGAUCUUUCAUCAUUCAGUAAGUUACAUUUGAGGUGAUUCAAUCUGGGCCAGAUUCCCAGAGCCAGAUUAAGCAUAGUCCUAGACUAAAAUGCAUUUACCAUAAUUUUUUUUCUUUAAGACUAGGCUUAAUCUGGGUCUGACACCGGCCCUAGGAGUCAGGAUUUUGCUUCAAGUCAUGUCAGUCACUGUCAGUCAUUACAUCAUCAUGUC